GCCAGACUCCUACGGGAGGCAGCAGUGGGGAAUAUUGCACAAUGGGGGAAACCCUGAUGCAGCAACGCCGCGUGAGUGAAGAAGUAUUUCGGUAUGUAAAGCUCUAUCAGCAGGGAAGAAGAAGGACGGUACCUGACUAAGAAGCCCCGGCUAACUACGUGCCAGCAGCCGCGGUAAUACGUAGGGGGCGAGCGUUAUCCGGAUUUACUGGGUGUAAAGGGAGCGUAGACGGUUAAUCAAGUCUGAAGUGAAAGCCCGCGGCUCAACUGCGGAACGGCUUUGGAAACUGAGUAACUGGAGUGCUGGAGGGGCAGGCGGAAUUCCUGGUGUAGCGGUGAAAUGCGUAGAUAUCAGGAGGAACACCAGUGGCGAAGGCGGCUUACUGGACGGCAACUGACGCUGAGGCUCGAAAGCGUGGGGAGCAAACAGGAUUAGAUACCCUCGUA
This 446-nucleotide ribosomal RNA is filed under the name uncultured bacterium. RNAcentral describes it as "partial 16S ribosomal RNA". It matches the Rfam family "Bacterial small subunit ribosomal RNA", at positions 330 to 792 of the family's 1533-position model. The record is from RNAcentral.